RNA transcript from Zea mays, 319 nucleotides. It is a transcript of the gene named protein-like pseudogene, with no coding region annotated. The record is from RefSeq and is marked validated. The transcript is spliced from 3 exons. NCBI's taxonomy places the organism in Eukaryota, Viridiplantae, Streptophyta, Magnoliopsida, Poales, Poaceae.
UUUUUCCUUGCAUUGCUGUUAUUUUCCAUUUCCCACACCUGGGGUUCUCAUGUUACCUCCAAUUAUAGCAAAAGUUUGCUAAGAUGGGUGAAGUGCUUCUUGCAGGCACAUCCUGGAGGUUUUCUUUUCACGAAGUUUGCCAGUAGUAGCCAGACUCUUUUUGACCUUUUCCCGGAUAGCUUUGGUAGCAGGUUGCAUGAAAGAAGCAAAGAAAGUCCGAAAACAAUGAAACAUCUAAAUAAACUUUUCCCAAACAAAAUUUUGAUCUAGCUUCCACAGGAUGAAGCCCUACUUACAGAUUGGAAGCAGCAGUUGGAAG